UUCUGCUAAGCGCCCGUUAGCCUUGUAUUCAAUUACGUGGUGCUUAAUCUAGCUCCAGUUGACUUCUGUUACUUCCUUCCAAUGUAAUAAAUCACCCGUUUCCUGACCUGGGCCCAUGGUGAGCUUGUGCAUGAAGAGGAAGUAACACUUGAGUGCCGUGGAUUGACUGCUGGCACAAAAAUACACCACGGGGUCUCCUGGCUCAGAAGACUGGAUUUCCAGGCUUCAAG
Molecule: long non-coding RNA, 230 nt
Filed under: Bos taurus (domestic cattle)
Lineage: Eukaryota; Metazoa; Chordata; Mammalia; Artiodactyla; Bovidae
Description: long non-coding RNA NONBTAT020328
Source: RNAcentral